Molecule: ribosomal RNA, 420 nt
Filed under: uncultured Nitrososphaerota archaeon
Lineage: Archaea; Thermoproteati; Nitrososphaerota
Description: bacterial SSU rRNA
Rfam family: Archaeal small subunit ribosomal RNA
Source: RNAcentral
CAGCCGCCACGGUAAAACCAGCACCUCAAGUGGUCAGGAUGAUUAUUGGGCCUAAAGCAUCCGUAGCCGGCUCUGUAAGUUUUCGGUUAAAUCUGUGCGCUCAACGUACAGGCUGCCGGGAAUACUGCAGAGCUAGGGAGUGGGAGAGGUAGACGGUACUCGGUAGGAAGGGGUAAAAUCCUUUGAUCUAUUGAUGACCACCUGUGGCGAAGGCGGUCUACCAGAACACGUCCGACAGUGAGGGAUGAAAGCUGGGGGAGCAAACCGGAUUAGAUACCCGGGUAGUCCCAGCUGUAAACUAUGCAAACUCAGUGAUGCAUUGGCUUGUGGCCAAUGCAGUGCUGCAGGGAAGCCGUUAAGUUUGCCGCCUGGGAAGUACGUACGCAAGUAUGAAACUUAAAGGAAUUGGCGGGGGAGCAC